GACGAACGCUGGCGGCGUGCUUAACACAUGCAAGUCGAACGAAAAGGCCCUGCUCUUGUGGCGUGCACGAGUGGCGAACGGGUGAGUAAAACGCGUGUAACCUGCACUUGUCUUUGGGAUAAAUUCAGGAAACUGGGGCGAAUACCCGAUAGGAUCUACUGCAGCAUGGUGGGGGUUGGAGAGUGUCGGCGGUUGGGGAUGGUUUCGCGGGUUAUCAGCUUGUUGGUGAGGUAGUGGCUUACCAAGGGUUUGACGGGUAGCCGGCAUGAGAGGCUUACCGGGGACAAUGGGACUGAGGUACGGCCCAGAAGGCUACGGGACGCAGCGGUGGGGAAUAUUGCAGAAUGGGCGGAAGCCUGAUGCAGCGGCGCCGCGUGCGGGAUGACGGCCUUCGGGUUGUGAACCGCUUUCGCCUGUGACGAGGAGUGAGUGACGGUAAUGGGUAAGGAAGCACCGGCUAACUACGUG
RNAcentral lists this ribosomal RNA (468 nucleotides) under uncultured bacterium. RNAcentral describes it as "partial 16S ribosomal RNA". It matches the Rfam family "Bacterial small subunit ribosomal RNA", at positions 28 to 507 of the family's 1533-position model. The record is from RNAcentral.